Molecule: ribosomal RNA, 1246 nt
Filed under: freshwater metagenome
Description: eukaryotic LSU rRNA
Rfam family: Eukaryotic large subunit ribosomal RNA
Source: RNAcentral
CAUACGAGAUGUAGAGAGGUCUCGUGGGCUCGGAGAUGUGUAUAAGAGACAGGGAUACGAUUUGCGCUAGCCCGAGGCUACUUGAUUGGGCAACUGGUCUUGUGGUCUCCCCAUGGCACCAAAUUUUUCCAAAAUUGCCAUCUCAGAACUGCUUACGAAGGGGAAUCCAACUGUAUAAUUAAAACAUAGGCUUGUGAUGCAUCCAAGGGGUGUAUAUCGCAAACUGAUUUCUGCCCAGUGCUCUGAAUGUCAAUGUGACGAGAUUCACCGACGCGCGGGUAAACGGCGGGAGUAACUAUGACUCUCUUAAGGUAGCCAAAUGCCUCGUCUUCUAAUUAGAGACGCGCAUGAAUGGAUUAAUGAGAUUCCCACUGUCCCUAGCUACCAUCUAGCGAACCAACUGCGUCAAGGGAACGGUCUUGAAUGAUUAAGCGGGGAAAGAAGACCCUGUUGAGUUUGACUCCAGUCUCAGUUUGUCGGGCGACAUAGGAGGUGUAGUUAUAGGUGGGAGGCUUGCCGGUUCUGAAAAACCACUUCUUUUAUCGUUGCUCUGCAAAUCCAAUGAUGAGGCAAAGGUGGUUAUGGUUAGGUUCUUCCUUACGGUUGGCCUGCCAUUCGCGUUCUGUUCGAGCCCGGUUUCCGGUGCCUCAGCAGUUCCAAUUCAUCUUUUUCAGCUAUAAAGGUUCCUUCAUUGGAGCCUGAGCCUUCGUUUGGAAACUAGACUGAGAUGGGGAGUUUGGCUGGGGCGGCAUAUCUGCUAAACAUCAACGCAGGUGUCCUAAGGCGAGCUCAGUGAGGACAGAAACCUCACGUGGCGCACAAGGGCAAAAGCUCGCUUGAUCUUAGACUUUCAGUAAUAGUCUAGAACGUGAAAGCGUGGCCAGCGAUCCUUUGAGCAUUUACAUUCAGGUAUAAUGCCAGAGGUGUCAUAAAAAUUACCACAGGGAUAACUGGCUUGUGGCAGCCAAGCGUUCCUAGCGACGUUGCCGUUUGAUCCUUCGAUGUCGGCUCUUCCUAGCCUUGCGCCGCAGUUGACGCAAAGGGUCGGAUUGUUCACCCGGAUGAGGGAACGUGAGCUGGGUUUAGACCGUCGUGAGACAGGUUGGUUUUACCCUACUUAAUCAAAAACUUCUGCAGGUGUGCUGAGGGAAAUACAAUGUAGUACGAGAGGAACUAUUGUUUCGCCUCCCUAGCAACAGCGGCACUCUGAAAAGAGGCGCCGCAUAACCACCAGGCGGUGAUUUAC